Long non-coding RNA from Parus major (Great Tit), 348 nucleotides. RefSeq lists it as uncharacterized. NCBI's taxonomy places the organism in Eukaryota, Metazoa, Chordata, Aves, Passeriformes, Paridae. The record is from RefSeq and is a predicted model, not a curated record. The transcript has 2 exons.
ACUAAGAGGAUCCCAUUGCACUUGGAAAACUCACCUCUCACCUUUUUCUGCUGAAUAAUGGGAGAAAAAAACCCACGUUUGGUAUCAGAUGAAUGCACAGAGAGCGUUUAUUACUUGGAAUUUCCUCACCUGAUGAUCCUGAAUCUUCCUGCCCACUACUCUGAAUGUGUUGUUGCCUGUGUGAUGAUAUAUGUGAACUCUGCUGAAUCCAGUUGAUCCACCAGCUGGUACCCAUUUCUUAUUGGCAUCGUCGUAGACCAUUACAGCAGCUCGUGCUUGGCAGAUACUCUGUUCACUGUUAAUAUACAAAGUGGAGAAGAAAAUAAAAUUACUUGUGGCAAAGCAUCA